Molecule: ribosomal RNA, 409 nt
Filed under: Macaca mulatta (Rhesus monkey)
Lineage: Eukaryota; Metazoa; Chordata; Mammalia; Primates; Cercopithecidae
Description: partial 12S ribosomal RNA
Rfam family: Bacterial small subunit ribosomal RNA
Source: RNAcentral
GCUUGGCCCUAAACCUCAGUAGUUAGAUAACAAAACUACUCGCCAGAAUACUACGAGCUACAGCUUAAAACUCAAAGGACUUGACGGUGCUUUACACCCCCUAGAGGAGCCUGUUCCGUAAUCGAUAAACCCCGAUCCACCCCACCCUCUCUUGCUCAGCCUAUAUACCGCCAUCUUCAGCAAACCCUAAUGAAGGUCACAAAGUGAGCGCAAACGCCAUCACCGCGAAUACGUUAGGUCAAGGUGUAGCCAAUGAGAUGGUAAAAAAUGGGCUACAUUUUCUACCUCAGAAAAUUCCACGAAAACCCUUAUGAAAUUUAAGGGCCCAAGGAGGAUUUAGCAGUAAAUUAAGAAUAGAGUGCUUAAUUGAACCAGGCCAUAAAGCGCGCACACACCGCCCGUCGUUCUU